Pyrus x bretschneideri (Chinese white pear) is the source of this 2837-nucleotide long non-coding RNA. RefSeq lists it as uncharacterized. NCBI's taxonomy places the organism in Eukaryota, Viridiplantae, Streptophyta, Magnoliopsida, Rosales, Rosaceae. The record is from RefSeq and is a predicted model, not a curated record. The transcript has 7 exons.
AAAAUUAUUUUUAUACUAAAAUCCAAACUCGGGUGUACUGUUUACGGACAGUAAAGUGGCAAAAAUGCCCUUGGCUGCUGCUAAUUCUCAAGCUUUUUUCUCUGUUUUGAACAUUGAAUUUACAUUUUGCCCCGAUAUCCACGUGUUGGUCAUCGUGGAAAAGGAGUUGACGGGUCGCACUCUUCUUCUUUCUUUUCUGCUUCUCUCGACUUUUCUUUCUUAGAAAGCUCAAAGGUUCACUGAUGCUGUUCCUCCGCUUCUUCUUAUCAAACGUCAAACGUUCGCAUCUUUCUCUCGCCGAUUAUCCACGGCGGUUUUCUUCCCGGAAAACUGCCCCACUCUUUUGCGAAUUUCUUUCAUUGAAAACCCUAGAGCGGCUAGAAGUUUCUCGACUUUUCCUUCCGUUUCCACUUUCCUGUCACAAAUCUCUGCUUCAAUCGGCUCGCAAAUCUCUGCCGACGGCGGUUUUUCUUGCCUGAGAAACCCCUGAAGGUUUUUUUUUGAUUCAGCGGCUUCUUGAUUGUUCAAAUCUAUGGUCUAGGUUGUUGGGGAUUUCUGGGUUUUUUUUAGCUUUGAGGUUUGGGUUUAUCCCUUUGUGCCGUCUGCAACAACACCACUGCGCUCAAACACAGACACUCUCUCUCUCUCUCUUCUCUUUCUCUCUCUUGCAGUCUCUCCUCCCCCAUACUCAAUCCUCUACUUCUCUGAUUCAUGGUUGGGUGAUUUGUAAAAAGGCUUCGAGUACAAAUUUGAACAUCUUUGAUCUUCCAUAUGACUGCUUUGCGCUGCUUCCGAAAUAUCUGUCUCGACUCUUGAUAGACAGAGAGAGAGGGAGAAGUAUGGUUGUCCUAGAAGGGGUAGGAUUGAGCGAUUGGAGACAGACAAAGAGUGAGGGAGGGAUGGGCGUAGGGCUGAUUUUUUGGUUCUACCCAAAGACCUACUACAAAUCGCACAUUAGUGUUUUAGGCUGUACUCCACACAGUAGACGAUGAGAGUUCCAGAGACUCCAGCCCUUCGCCGGUGUCUGUCCCUUUUGUUGUUGUCAGCUCAUCCGCAACCAUGGUAGGCAAUAACAAGAAAAAAGUCAAUGACUCUGAUAACAUGUCGCUGGUAAAUGAGAAGCAGAGUAAGCAAAUUACAGAGAUACCUCCAGAAGAGUACAAAAUGCCACUGGUAUGGAUUGACUUGGAAAUGACUGGUGAGGGUAAUAUUGCUCAAGUAUAUAUGAAAAUGCAUGACUAAAUAACAUUGAUAAUUUCUUCGCUACUCUUGGGAACUAAUUUUGUGUGGAAUUUUGUUGUAUGGACUAUGGAGUAAAUACAUGUUGCAUGAUAUGACUUAUUUGAGUUUAUUAGAGGGUCGUGGGGAUGCCCAUGGAAAGACAAGCUCAGUUUUGAGGAAAAGCAUAACAAAGAAGAGUACUUCUACAACAAUUGAUGUAAUCAUAAGAAAAAGUUGAGUUCUUUAGUUCAUUGCAAGUUGACCCAUCGCCAUUCAUUGCAAGUCGACCCAUAGUCAGGUAUCUCUCUCUCAAGAUUUUACCAAUUAGGUGUAUUUAUACUCUUAUUGGAUGUGAAUUUUUAAAAUAAUGAUGUAACUGCUUGAUAACCUAUGCAUCGUUUGGAGUUAAAAUAUACCACUUAAAUUGUGGGUAAAUGUAAAUGUGAAACUUAUAAACUAUAACCUCCUCCAUCAUUUAUUUUAGACAUCACUCAAGUUGUGAGGAAAUGUAACUAGCCAAUUUAUGAAAAUUAUUAGCACUUAAUGUACAAUUGUAUUUCAUAAUUUUUGUGAAUAAUCUAUUUGACAGCAGAAUGUGCUUUAAAGAAAAAACAGUUCAUAGAGUAAGAGAAACAGCCAAGUGCUACUGUGUACGAUUCUCGGACCGCUGAAUUGGAAUACUCAGAGAAACAAUAUGCAUAGGGAUCACUAAUAAUGUUUUUUUGGUGUAUGUAUCUCAUAUGUUGAAGGCACCCUAACAUUGAAAACAACACUUCUUUUUGUACAAACUUUGCUUUCUGCUGCUCACGGAUGAUCCUCAAGAUGUUUUGGUGGCAAAACAGGUUAAACUCGCUUUUUUACUUUAACCAAAUAUGUGUGUGGAUUGAUGGUGGACUAUGUUUAGUGAAUGUGUAUUUGAGCUCUGUAGAUGACUGCAUGUUGUGUUGACUUCAGAUUUUUGUUAUCAAUCACUCUUUCAAGUGCUUAUUUGAAUCAUUUAAUCCCAAAUUCAAAAAUCAGAAACUGCCUGAUAAUCUCAGUAAGUUCUUAUUUUCUAUGAUCUUUAAGAUUGUACCUUUUAGAUGCUUAACCUCUAAAUUGUUUAUGUUGUUGAGUUUCUGCCUUUAAUUUGUUUUUGUUGCCUUUCGCAUAUGAUGAUGAAAUGGUCCAUCUUUGAUUAUGCCUAAUUUUGGUUUUAAACUUAAAAUUUUCUGGAAUUGACAUGGGCUUACUGAAAUUUUUUUAUAAAAAAAAAACCAUUAUGCAUUUAAAUGCAGAGAUUGUUGGGUCAAAAAUAAGAAAACGGAGAGAGUAGCACAACACUAUGUGAAAUUGGCUUUGGGUUUCAUUUGGCGGUUUGUUUUGCACGUGUCGUUUUUGCAAAGUAAAGGACAUAUGCAACACCUUCCACGAUUUUAGAACACUUGAAGGUUGAAGGUGAGACCUAAGAAAUAAAAUAGCGGUUUGAAAAGUUGUGAUGGCAUGUUAAUUCCCUUUUUUGUGAACUGAUUUUAAAGCGUAUUUACCUAUUUAUUUUUUCAUAUUUUGUUUACAUUUGAUUUAUGAUAGAUUACACAUACUUAACGUGUUUGCAUAAAUUUAAUGCCAUAAGCUUA